Fundulus heteroclitus (mummichog) is the source of this 539-nucleotide long non-coding RNA. RefSeq lists it as uncharacterized. The record is from RefSeq and is a predicted model, not a curated record. Lineage: Eukaryota; Metazoa; Chordata; Actinopteri; Cyprinodontiformes; Fundulidae. The transcript is spliced from 2 exons.
UGUCCUGUAAGCGAGGCAGGAGAGGAGUACCUGGCCGGAAGCAGACCCAGGUGUUUGGGGUUGGGUCUGGUUCCUUGACUGCUGACCUGGGUUUUAUAGUCUGGAGCCCAGACAACAGCGAUGUUGCUGCACCUCCUGCUUCUCUCAGGAUCAUCCGUUAUUUCAUUGUUUUGUUUUUUGCUAAGGAUAUGUUGUUGUUUUUUUUCAUGUCCGUUUGAGUCAUAAAUACCACAGAAAGCAAAAUUACAGAGGAAUUGUUGCAGCUUCAAAAUAAGUUUUUAAUCAUUUCUGGCUGCCUCACUGAAAUUAAAUAGUUUCAGCUCAACUUGGAGAAGCACGGGAUGGACAGUGGGUUACAUGCUUGUUGUUUGUCUUCUUCUUCUUUUUCCUUUAAUGACUGAAAAAUAGAUUUAACUCUGCCAUACCCAGAGGGAUUUUUUACUGUUCCCAUUUAUUACUCAGUAUGCACUGUAUUAUUGUGCAAACAUAGACUUCAGUGUUUUAUAGUCGUUUUGUGAUAAAUAAAACUUUAUACUAUG